UACGAAGGGGGCUAGCGUUGUUCGGAAUCACUGGGCGUAAAGCGCACGCAGGCGGGUCGUUAAGUCAGGGGUGAAAUCCCGAGGCUCAACCUCGGAACUGCCUUUGAUACUGGCGAUCUUUGAGUCCGGGGAGAGGUGAGUGGAACUCCGAGUGUAGAGGUGAAAUUCGUAGAUAUUCGGAAGAACACCAGUGGCGAAGGCGACUCACUGGACAUGUAUUGACGCUGAGGUGCGAAAGCGUGGGGGAGCAAACGG
This 255-nucleotide ribosomal RNA is filed under the name uncultured bacterium. RNAcentral's name for it is "partial 16S ribosomal RNA". It matches the Rfam family "Bacterial small subunit ribosomal RNA", at positions 524 to 775 of the family's 1533-position model. The record is from RNAcentral.